GGCGUUAAGUUGCAGGGUAUAGACCCGAAACCCGGUGAUCUAGCCAUGGGCAGGUUGAAGGUUGGGUAACACUAACUGGAGGACCGAACCGACUAAUGUUGAAAAAUUAGCGGAUGACCUGUGGCUGGGGGUGAAAGGCCAAUCAAACCGGGAGAUAGCUGGUUCUCCCCGAAAGCUAUUUAGGUAGCGCCUCGUGAAUUCAUCUCCGGGGGUAGAGCACUGUUUCGGCUAGGGGGCCAUCCCGGCUUACCAACCCGAUGCAAACUGCGAAUACCGGAGAAUGUUAUCACGGGAGACACACGGCGGGUGCUAACGUCCGUCGUGAAGAGGGAAACAACCCAGACCGCCAGCUAAGGUCCCAAAGUCAUGGUUAAGUGGGAAACGAUGUGGGAAGGCCCAGACAGCCAGGAUGUUGGCUUAGAAGCAGCCAUCAUUUAAAGAAAGCGUAAUAGCUCACUGGUCGAGUCGGCCUGCGCGGAAGAUGUAACGGGGCUAAACCAU
RNAcentral lists this ribosomal RNA (501 nucleotides) under Salmonella enterica subsp. enterica serovar Rubislaw. RNAcentral's name for it is "partial 23S ribosomal RNA". It matches the Rfam family "Bacterial large subunit ribosomal RNA", at positions 691 to 1190 of the family's 2925-position model. Lineage: Bacteria; Pseudomonadati; Pseudomonadota; Gammaproteobacteria; Enterobacterales; Enterobacteriaceae. The record is from RNAcentral. RNAcentral also lists the same sequence under 27 other names.